This 211-nucleotide long non-coding RNA is filed under the name Physcomitrium patens. RNAcentral's name for it is "long non-coding RNA (PPAT_LNC014137)". The record is from RNAcentral. Lineage: Eukaryota; Viridiplantae; Streptophyta; Bryopsida; Funariales; Funariaceae.
GUGGAGAUAUGUAGAAUAAGUAGUUAUUUUACAGAAUGAAGAUACCUAGUAUAUAGUGUAAACAGGGAUAGAUAACUGCUGAAAAGGUGGUUCAGUAGGUAGAAUGGAUGAAUAGUGAGGAAAAGUAGUUAUCAUCCAUAGUAUAGGAGUUCGUAUCUCAGGGUAGUAUAAAGAAGAUGGAAGAGAUAAAAAAAAUGCCAAACUGUGAUAG